Molecule: ribosomal RNA, 507 nt
Filed under: Dactylonectria macrodidyma
Lineage: Eukaryota; Fungi; Ascomycota; Sordariomycetes; Hypocreales; Nectriaceae
Description: eukaryotic LSU rRNA
Rfam family: 5.8S ribosomal RNA (bases 168-321)
Source: RNAcentral
CGGUUGGUGAACCAGCGGAGGGAUCAUUACCGAGUUUACAACUCCCAAACCCCUGUGAACAUACCUAUUUGUUGCCUCGGCGGUGCCUGUUCCGACAGCCCGCCAGAGGACCCCAAACCCUGAUUACAUUUAAGAAGUCUUCUGAGUAAACCGAUUAAAUAAAUCAAAACUUUCAACAACGGAUCUCUUGGUUCUGGCAUCGAUGAAGAACGCAGCGAAAUGCGAUAAGUAAUGUGAAUUGCAGAAUUCAGUGAAUCAUCGAAUCUUUGAACGCACAUUGCGCCCGCUAGUAUUCUGGCGGGCAUGCCUGUCCGAGCGUCAUUUCAACCCUCAAGCCCCCGGGCUUGGUGUUGGGGAUCGGCGAGCCUCCGCGCCCGCCGUCCCCUAAAUCUAGUGGCGGUCUCGCUGUAGCUUCCUCUGCGUAGUAGCACACCUCGCACUGGGAAACAGCGCGGCCACGCCGUUAAACCCCCAACUUCUGAACGUUUGACCUCGGAUCAGGUAGGA